Molecule: long non-coding RNA, 289 nt
Filed under: Macaca fascicularis (crab-eating macaque)
Lineage: Eukaryota; Metazoa; Chordata; Mammalia; Primates; Cercopithecidae
Description: lncRNA (ENSMFAG00000060569.1)
Source: RNAcentral
GGACAGCAGAGUCCUAUCUGACACUGGGCCUUCCUAAGGAAACAGAAAGCAGUGAACCUCUGUAAAAGCUUAGAGGUGCCCGUGAUACUUGCCCUUGUGUGGGAGGAGAGCUCUGCUGCUGAUUCCGGGUGCCUGUCCCCCAUGACCAUCUUCUCACCGCUGUGGAUGGAUCUGCUCUUUCCCACUGGCCUGUGCUGACUCCGGCUCUCUGGGCAUCAGAACCGUGCAAUGCUCCAGGUGAACCUGGCAUGCACGCCCCACCUGCAGGCUGCACCUCCAGCUCGCUGAC